Molecule: non-coding RNA, 1442 nt
Organism: Cyanistes caeruleus (blue tit)
Lineage: Eukaryota; Metazoa; Chordata; Aves; Passeriformes; Paridae
Source: RefSeq, a predicted model, not a curated record
CGGCNACCGCCCCGGGCCCGGCCCCGGAACCGCAGCCGUGAGGGGACGUGGUGCUGCGGCGUCCGGGCCGCGCUGGCUGCGUCGGUGGAAAUGCCCCUUCUGCGUCCCGGCUCGGCUCCGCAUCGACCGCGGAGGUGAUGGGGCGAGGUGCCUCCGGGUCUCGGUGGGUUUGAAAGCUGGGGGCUUGGAAAAGGGGCUUCCAGGACCCUACAGACCCAACGCACUCCCCGCCCAACAGACUUCACUCUAAGACUUUGGAGCAUCUUGUUGAUUUUCAGGAUCAUGAAAUACUGAAAUGGUGUCAUAUGUCAAUUAUUAUUAUUUUUGGCAAGAAUUACCAGAAAGAGCUCGACUUGAUUGCCACCUUUUCCAUACCACAGUGACAGACAGUUCAGACAAAAUAUUACUUGGAAUUUAUGAGGCACAAAAAGCCCAUCUCCAUUAUAAUACCAGAACCUUACUGCAGAAGAGUGCAGGCUACCAAGUGUCCCAGCUCUGCAGAUAAAACAAUCUCCCACAGUUAUGGACAAACCCUAAUGGAUCUUUAUUCAACAUGAUGUCUUUCUGAAACAGUGCUGUUAGUAAGUAUGCAGAAGUAACUUUUUAUGCAUGUAACAGAAAGUGACUACAUCCAACAUUCAUAAGCAAUAAAGGUGGUAGGGGUAUGGAAGAGACAUUUGACCAAUUUAAGUGCUAUCAAAAGCUCAAUACGCUGUCAAACAGCCCAGCAGGCAAGUGCUGCUUUCACAAACACACCACCACUGACUGGUGAAAUUACUAUCACAAGAUGGGGCACACAAGCCUAAAUGACAGCUUGCUCUUCUACUGCUGUGUUUUGGUCUCAGGGCAUGUCAGAAACACCAGCAAAUCAGUGACCAUUGUGCCAAUGAGCAGAGAGGUCAUGAACUAAGGGUUCACUAUCAACUUUGACCAGGGUCAAAAUAACAAAGAAAUUUUAUGCACUUUAACUGCAAAAUAUUAAAGCACUCCUAAAUAGAACUAGGUCCUAAAUAUGCAAUUUUUCAAAAGCUUUCUUUCAGAUGUAAGAAAAGCAAGAACAUUCUAUCCGUCUCAAAAAUUUUCCCUUGGUUACGGCAGGCAAGCUGUUCCAAAGGUUUAUGCUGAUGUCAACAGGUACAAAUCAGUGUCAGUCAAGAUAAAUUAACAUAGUCUACAGUUGGAGGUGGAAGCUUUACUGCACUGGAUGUAAACUUUCAAAUGCUUUCAUAUCAGGAAGUUGUCAACUACGUUUAUGCCAUCAUCCCAUCUUAAUACCUGCACAAGUACUUUCAUCCCUUUAAAAAUGUUAUGUAAGCUUUAUCACGCUGGACUUACCUCAAUAUUUAUGAUACAGUUAGAAACUGUUAUCAGCUAAUAACAACCUUGGUUAUUCAUUAACUCACUAAUAUAAAGGAAAAUUGAUGCAAUACUAGAAAAGGGGA